Unclassified non-coding RNA from Microcebus murinus (gray mouse lemur), 134 nucleotides. Lineage: Eukaryota; Metazoa; Chordata; Mammalia; Primates; Cheirogaleidae. The record is from Ensembl.
AAUCCUGUUACACCUGGGAUUUAGGUCCUUUUAAUCUGAAAAAAAAAAUACAUACUCCUUCAGCAUUCCAGAAGGAUUUGAGAACAAUCCUUCCCUGAACUAAAGCUGGAAUACUGUGGGAUUGGAGAAUUAAG